Molecule: small nuclear RNA, 107 nt
Filed under: Fukomys damarensis (Damara mole-rat)
Lineage: Eukaryota; Metazoa; Chordata; Mammalia; Rodentia; Bathyergidae
Source: RNAcentral
AUGUUCACUUUGGCAGCACGUAUACUAAAACUGGAACAAUACAGAGAAGAUUAGCAUGGCCCCUGAGCAAGGAUGGCAUGCAAAUUUGUGAAGUGUUCCAUAUUAAA